GCCGAAGUGGUGAAAUGGUAUACACGCAUGUUUCAGGUACAUGUAAGCGAAAGCUUGUGAGGGUUCAACUCCCUUCUUCGGCA
Molecule: transfer RNA, 83 nt
Filed under: Vampirovibrio sp.
Lineage: Bacteria; Bacillati; Candidatus Melainabacteria; Vampirovibriophyceae; Vampirovibrionales; Vampirovibrionaceae
Description: tRNA-Leu
Rfam family: tRNA
About the family: Transfer RNA (tRNA) molecules are approximately 80 nucleotides in length. Their secondary structure includes four short double-helical elements and three loops (D, anti-codon, and T loops).
Source: RNAcentral